Molecule: ribosomal RNA, 291 nt
Filed under: uncultured Eubacteriales bacterium
Lineage: Bacteria; Bacillati; Bacillota; Clostridia; Eubacteriales
Description: uncultured Clostridiales bacterium partial 16S ribosomal RNA
Rfam family: Bacterial small subunit ribosomal RNA
Source: RNAcentral
AACGGAGCUGCUUUGAUGAAGUUUUCGGAUGGAUUUAAAACAGCUUAGUGGCGGACGGGUGAGUAACGCGUGAGCAACCUUUCCCAGACAGGGGAAUAACACACCGAAAGGUGUACUAAUACCGCAUAAGACCACAGUUUCACAUGGUUCUGAGGUAAAAGAUUUAUCGGUUUGGGGUGGGCUCGCGUCCGAUUAGAUAGUUGGUGAGGUAACGGCUCACCAAGUCGACGAUUGGUAGCCGGCCUGAGAGGGUGAACGGCCACAUUGGGACUGAGACACGGCCCAAACUCC